UGAGCCGUCGUCCAAUGGCAGGACUCUGGUUUUUGGUGCCAGCUAUCCAGGUUCGAGUCCUGGCGGCUCAGCCA
This 74-nucleotide transfer RNA is filed under the name Actinomycetes bacterium. Its description in RNAcentral is "tRNA-Gln". It matches the Rfam family "tRNA". From Rfam's summary of the family: Transfer RNA (tRNA) molecules are approximately 80 nucleotides in length. Their secondary structure includes four short double-helical elements and three loops (D, anti-codon, and T loops). Further hydrogen bonds mediate the characteristic L-shaped molecular structure. tRNAs have two regions of fundamental functional importance: the anti-codon, which is responsible for specific mRNA codon recognition, and the 3' end, to which the tRNAs corresponding amino acid is attached (by aminoacyl-tRNA synthetases). tRNAs cope with the degeneracy of the genetic code in two manners: having more than one tRNA (with a specific anti-codon) for a particular amino acid; and 'wobble' base-pairing, i.e. permitting non-standard base-pairing at the 3rd anti-codon position. The record is from RNAcentral. Lineage: Bacteria; Bacillati; Actinomycetota; Actinomycetes.